Molecule: non-coding RNA, 118 nt
Organism: Paenibacillus sp. DMB20
Lineage: Bacteria; Bacillati; Bacillota; Bacilli; Caryophanales; Paenibacillaceae
Source: Rfam
GAGGGAAGGCCCCUCGACGGGGAUCGAGUCAGGCGAAUCCGUCAAACAGCCCUAAGCUGCUGCAAUAAAGAGUUGUGGUAGUGAGCGUUUAGGGAAAAGGUUGCCAUAAGCAAUCAUG